UAGACUAAUGAAGAUAUGGAAAAUUUGAUAAUUGCUACUAAUUGCUCCUGAAUCGCUAGUAAUUGCUCCGCACAUGUUGUAAUUUGCUCCCUCAUAGUUUUCGAUGAAAUUGGAAAAAAAGGGACCGGCUUGGAGGUUACGUUGAAGAACGGCAGAUUCGAAAUUGUAUCCGAAACAAAAAAAUAUCGAUUUGGUCCGAGUGACAAUUGCUUCUAUUUGCUCCUCGGUUUCUUUUUAAUUAUUUACCAAUUCCAUCAUUUGCUCCCUCACAGUUUCCGAGAAAACUGGGAAAAACGACACCGACUCGUUGCGAAGCGGAAGUUCAAGAAGCCACAGAUUCAGACUCUGUCGGAUUUG
Long non-coding RNA from Diprion similis, 357 nucleotides. RefSeq lists it as uncharacterized. The record is from RefSeq and is a predicted model, not a curated record. Lineage: Eukaryota; Metazoa; Arthropoda; Insecta; Hymenoptera; Diprionidae. The transcript has 3 exons.